Desarmillaria ectypa is the source of this 85-nucleotide non-coding RNA. Lineage: Eukaryota; Fungi; Basidiomycota; Agaricomycetes; Agaricales; Physalacriaceae. The record is from the annotation of a GenBank genome assembly.
GGGCUCUUGGCACAGUUGGUAGCGCGCACGCUUUGCAUGCUCGAUUGCCUGCGUGAGGUCGUGGGUUCAAUUCCCACAGUGUCCA